This 497-nucleotide ribosomal RNA is filed under the name uncultured bacterium. Its description in RNAcentral is "partial 16S ribosomal RNA". It matches the Rfam family "Bacterial small subunit ribosomal RNA", at positions 28 to 507 of the family's 1533-position model. The record is from RNAcentral.
GAUGAACGCUGGCGGCGUGCCUAAUACAUGCAAGUCGAGCGAACAGACGAGGAGCUUGCUCCUUUGACGUUAGCGGCGGACGGGUGAGUAACACGUGGGUAACCUACCUAUAAGACUGGGAUAACUUCGGGAAACCGGAGCUAAUACCGGAUAAUAUUUCGAACCGCAUGGUUCGAUAGUGAAAGAUGGCUUUGCUAUCACUUAUAGAUGGACCUGCGCCGUAUUAGCUAGUUGGUAAGGUAACGGCUUACCAAGGCAACGAUACGUAGCCGACCUGAGAGGGUGAUCGGCCACACUGGAACUGAGACACGGUCCAGACUCCUACGGGAGGCAGCAGUAGGGAAUCUGCCGCAAUGGGCGAAAGCCUGACGGAGCAACGCCGCGUGAGUGAUGAAGGUCUUCGGAUCUUAAAACUCUGUUAUUAGGGAAGAACAAACGUGUAAGUAACUGUGCACGUCUUGACGGUACCUUAUCAGAAAGCCACGGCUAACUACGUG